This 253-nucleotide ribosomal RNA is filed under the name uncultured bacterium. Its description in RNAcentral is "partial 16S ribosomal RNA". It matches the Rfam family "Bacterial small subunit ribosomal RNA", at positions 524 to 776 of the family's 1533-position model. The record is from RNAcentral.
UACGUAGGGUGCGAGCGUUGUCCGGAAUUAUUGGGCGUAAAGGGCUUGUAGGCGGUUUGUCGCGUCUGCUGUGAAAAUCCGGGGCUCAACCCCGGACUUGCAGUGGGUACGGGCAGACUGGAGUGUGGUAGGGGAGACUGGAAUUCCUGGUGUAGCGGUGGAAUGCGCAGAUAUCAGGAGGAACUCCGAUGGCGAAGGCAGGUCUCUGGGCCACUACUGACGCUGAGGAGCGAAAGCAUGGGGAGCGAACAGG